UAUUGCUGGCACAGGGUAGGAAAAGGGAGGGAGCUUAGAAAGAUCUGGAGAGUUCAGAACAUUGGAUUAAAUCCAGGAAUUUGUGGUUGAAAGUGGAUAAAUGCAAGGCAUUUCUCUCAAGGGGCAGGAAAGAAGAAUAACAAGCAGAAAUAAAAUACAGGAGAGCAGGACAGAGAGCAGCAAUGCAGAAAAGAAUCCGAGAGACAGCAGUAAAGACAAAUAAAUGAAAGAAGUUCUUGAGCACUUACUACUGUUCACACUAAAGAAGAUCAUGCAAAUGCCCGAGGACAAACUGCACAUUGGCUUUGGAGAAAGAAGACAUUGGGGAGUGGAUCCCCACAAGCUCCAGGGACCCUCCAUCUCCUCAGACACUCAGGAAAAAAAAAAAAAAAAAAAAAAAAGUAAAGCUCAGUGCCAUGCUUCAAUACAGGAGAAAGCGGAGUGUUGCUGAGCCUACACUACUACUGUUUUAGAAUUUGUCUUUUGACUGCUUUGUGUCAGGCAUUCAAUAUUAACUUCUUGACAACAAAAACACAACAAAUUGGGUAAGUAACUUUUUAUAGCAUGUACAGACAUUCCUCAAAACAUAAGCAUAGGAAAAGAAACCGCUAAGGUAGAAGGACAGACUGUAAUUUCUCACACAAGUUUCAGACAUUCACAAGAAGUGACAUUAGAAUUUGCAGCACCAUAAGGGCUUUGGGAAUGCUCAAAAGCAUUGGUAGCAGAGAAAACAGAAGAGAAUAUGAAUCAUAUUAGUGUCUAUCAUUGGUUAUUUUAUUUCACAUUGUGCUUCCAGAAUUCUUCCUUGUGAGACAUCAAGAUAUUGAUUUAAAUCUCUAUCUCAAUUUGCUAAUACUCAUUAAAUUCUAAAAAAUUAAAAGGCUGGAUGCCUUAGAACCAGGAGAUGGAAAUAAAUUAAUACCUGUGGAUACA
This 933-nucleotide long non-coding RNA is filed under the name Anas platyrhynchos platyrhynchos (common mallard). RNAcentral describes it as "lncRNA (ENSAPLG00000017358.1)". The record is from RNAcentral. Lineage: Eukaryota; Metazoa; Chordata; Aves; Anseriformes; Anatidae.